This 325-nucleotide ribosomal RNA is filed under the name uncultured bacterium. Its description in RNAcentral is "bacterial SSU rRNA". It matches the Rfam family "Bacterial small subunit ribosomal RNA", at positions 29 to 354 of the family's 1533-position model. The record is from RNAcentral.
AUUAAACGCUGGCGGCAUGCCUUACACAUGCAAGUCGAACGGCAGCACGGGGGCAACCCUGGUGGCGAGUGGCGAACGGGUGAGUAAAGCAUCGGAACGUGCCCUGGAGUGGGGGGAUAACGUAGCGAAAGUUACGCUAAUACCGCAUAUUCUGUGAGCAGGAAAGCAGGGGAUCGCAAGACCUUGCGCUCUGGGAGCGGCCGAUGUCGGAUUAGCUAGUUGGUGGGGUAAAGGCCUACCAAGGCGACGAUCCGUAGCGGGUCUGAGAGGAUGAUCCGCCACACUGGGACUGAGACACGGUCCAGACUCCUACGGGAGGCAGCAG